RNAcentral lists this ribosomal RNA (1385 nucleotides) under uncultured bacterium. RNAcentral's name for it is "bacterial SSU rRNA". It matches the Rfam family "Bacterial small subunit ribosomal RNA", at positions 28 to 1381 of the family's 1533-position model. The record is from RNAcentral.
GACGAACGCUGGCGGCGUGCCUAAUACAUGCAAGUCGAGCGAGCGGAACUAACAGAUUUACUUCGGUAAUGACGUUAGGAAAGCGAGCGGCGGACGGGUGAGUAACACGUGGGGAACCUGCCCCAUAGUCUGGGAUACCACUUGGAAACAGGUGCUAAUACCGGAUAAGAAAGCAGAUCGCAUGAUCAGCUUUUAAAAGGCGGCGUAAGCUGUCGCUAUGGGAUGGCCCCGCGGUGCAUUAGCUAGUUGGUAAGGUAAAGGCUUACCAAGGCGAUGAUGCAUAGCCGAGUUGAGAGACUGAUCGGCCACAUUGGGACUGAGACACGGCCCAAACUCCUACGGGAGGCAGCAGUAGGGAAUCUUCCACAAUGGACGCAAGUCUGAUGGAGCAACGCCGCGUGAGUGAAGAAGGUUUUCGGAUCGUAAAGCUCUGUUGUUGGUGAAGAAGGAUAGAGGUAGUAACUGGCCUUUAUUUGACGGUAAUCAACCAGAAAGUCACGGCUAACUACGUGCCAGCAGCCGCGGUAAUACGUAGGUGGCAAGCGUUGUCCGGAUUUAUUGGGCGUAAAGCGAGCGCAGGCGGAAGAAUAAGUCUGAUGUGAAAGCCCUCGGCUUAACCGAGGAACUGCAUCGGAAACUGUUUUUCUUGAGUGCAGAAGAGGAGAGUGGAACUCCAUGUGUAGCGGUGGAAUGCGUAGAUAUAUGGAAGAACACCAGUGGCGAAGGCGGCUCUCUGGUCUGCAACUGACGCUGAGGCUCGAAAGCAUGGGUAGCGAACAGGAUUAGAUACCCUGGUAGUCCAUGCCGUAAACGAUGAGUGCUAAGUGUUGGGAGGUUUCCGCCUCUCAGUGCUGCAGCUAACGCAUUAAGCACUCCGCCUGGGGAGUACGACCGCAAGGUUGAAACUCAAAGGAAUUGACGGGGGCCCGCACAAGCGGUGGAGCAUGUGGUUUAAUUCGAAGCAACGCGAAGAACCUUACCAGGUCUUGACAUCUAGUGCCAUUUGUAGAGAUACAAAGUUCCCUUCGGGGACGCUAAGACAGGUGGUGCAUGGCUGUCGUCAGCUCGUGUCGUGAGAUGUUGGGUUAAGUCCCGCAACGAGCGCAACCCUUGUUAUUAGUUGCCAGCAUUAAGUUGGGCACUCUAAUGAGACUGCCGGUGACAAACCGGAGGAAGGUGGGGAUGACGUCAAGUCAUCAUGCCCCUUAUGACCUGGGCUACACACGUGCUACAAUGGGCAGUACAACGAGAAGCGAGCCUGCGAAGGCAAGCGAAUCUCUGAAAGCUGUUUUCAGUUCGGACUGCAGUCUGCAACUCGACUGCACGAAGCUGGAAUCGCUAGUAAUCGCGGAUCAGCACGCCGCGGUGAAUACGUUCCCGGGCCU